Molecule: long non-coding RNA, 1083 nt
Organism: Nomascus leucogenys (northern white-cheeked gibbon)
Lineage: Eukaryota; Metazoa; Chordata; Mammalia; Primates; Hylobatidae
Exons: 3
Source: RefSeq, a predicted model, not a curated record
UCGUGCUAUGCCGGCCCCCUCAACCCAAGCUCAAGCUGUCUCCAGCACCGCUUGUGAGCCGGGCCCACGUUGCUGCCCAGGGACGCGGUGGUGAGGAAGGUGUGAUGUGUGAGUCCGCUGGGGCGGCCCUAACGGGGCACACAGAGGCCACCUGGGAACCGAUGGUGUCCACUGAUGGAUGUUUUCCUGGGCUGAAGUAUUUCAGAUGCCCAGUGUUCUCCCAGCCCUCACAGCGGUCAGUUCUGCUUCACGGGUUUCCCGCAUGAUUUGGCUAAGACGUCAGCAGGCAAAGACGCUUGGGUUGGCUUUAGACAUUACGAAUAAAAGGAAGCUGCGGGAGGCGGUCAAAGUCUGAGACAUGACAGGUCAAAGCUGCAAUCACAAGGGGCUGCGUUGCCUUUUGAUGGGAGAGCCAGGGGCUGCAUUCCCAAGAUUGCAUGAUGCCAGCUCCCAACUGCGAGGGGGCAGAUUUGUUGGAAUUUCUCAAAUCCAGUCUUUGACACAUGCGUUGUUCCUUCAAUUGCUAAUAAAGGGUCUUGGGGAGAAAAAAGUGGAAAACAGCGUCUUCCCGUCCCCUCAGAGGAGCACAGGUGAUGAUGGCGUCCCAGGACGGUGCUAGGCUGUGCACAGGCCGGCCCUCCUUUUGUGAACUUUCUGUUCUUUCUGGCGACAUGCUUGCUGUGUGCAGGGAGCUCACCGUGGAAAGCCCCAGACAUUGCUGCUCCUGUCUCCUGACGUGCAUGUGGCUCAGCUGUAAACAUCUUUACCCUUCAUGCUGACUUAAUACUGAUUGUCGGGCAGAGAGUUCACUUGGAAACACAUCAUCCUGGGUGGAGAUGGUGCCGCCCACCCCAGAGGGGCGUCUUGUUCAGUGGGUUGUGCUCAUGGGGGUGGGGCCUUGUGUCUGCACACUCACUCCCUAUGCUGGGCGUGCCCCCAGGUCUGGGUGCUGCAUUCCCCACACCUGCCUCUGCUGCUGGACCCAGAGCUCUCUGGGGCCGUGGGCACAUCUGUCUUGUCCUGAGCCUCCACUGCCACAUGUAGCUAAUGAUUCAGCUCACCCGUGUGGCUGCCUCCCAGUGC